Molecule: ribosomal RNA, 301 nt
Filed under: uncultured bacterium
Lineage: Bacteria
Description: partial 16S ribosomal RNA
Rfam family: Bacterial small subunit ribosomal RNA
Source: RNAcentral
CAGUCGCCACGGUAAUACGUAGGGGGCAAGCGUUGUCCGGAAUUAUUGGGCGUAAAGCGCGCGCAGGCGGAUAGGUCAGUCUGUCUUAAAAGUUCGGGGCUUAACCCCGUGAUGGGAUGGAAACUGCCAAUCUAGAGUAUCGGAGAGGAAAGUGGAAUUCCUAGUGUAGCGGUGAAAUGCGUAGAUAUUAGGAAGAACACCAGUGGCGAAGGCGACUUUCUGGACGAAAACUGACGCUGAGGCGCGAAAGCCAGGGGAGCGAACGGGAUUAGAUACCCCCGUAGUCCCUGUCUCUUAUACC